This 497-nucleotide ribosomal RNA is filed under the name uncultured bacterium. Its description in RNAcentral is "partial 16S ribosomal RNA". It matches the Rfam family "Bacterial small subunit ribosomal RNA", at positions 28 to 507 of the family's 1533-position model. The record is from RNAcentral.
GAUGAACGCUGGCGGCGUGCCUAAUACAUGCAAGUCGAGCGAACAGAUAAUGAGCUUGCUCCUUUGACGUUAGCGGCGGACGGGUGAGUAACACGUGGAUCACCUACCUAUAUGUCUGGGAUAACCUCGGGAAACCGGAUCUAAUACCAGAUAAUAUCUUGCACCGCAUGGUUCAAUGGAGAAUGGCGGCUUUGCUGUCUCUUAUAGAUGGUUCCGCGCCGUAUUGGCUGGUUGGUAAGGUACCAGCUUACCAAGGCGACGAUUCGUAGCAGACCUGAGCGGGUGAUCGGCCAAACUGGAACUGAGCCACGGUCCAGACUCCUACGGGAGGCAGCAGUAGGGAAUCGUACGCAAUGGGCGAAAGCCUGACGCAGCAACGCCGCGUGAGUGAUGAAGGUCUUCGGUUCGUAAAACUCUGUUAUGGGGGAAGAACAGAUGUGUAAGUAGCUGUGGCCAUCGUGACGGUACCUGAUCAAAAAGCCACGGCUAACUACGUG